UACGGAGGGUGCGAGCGUUGUCCGGAAUCACUGGGCGUAAAGGGCGCGUAGGCGGCGCGGUAAGCGUGCGGUGAAAGUCCGGGGCUCAACCCCGGAUCGGCCGUGCGGACUGCCGGGCUCGAGCACUGUAGGGGCGGGUGGAACUCCGGGUGUAGCGGUGGAAUGCGUAGAGAUCCGGAAGAACACCGGUGGCGAAGGCGGCCCGCUGGGCAGUGGCUGACGCUGAGGCGCGAAAGCGUGGGGAGCAAACAGG
RNAcentral lists this ribosomal RNA (253 nucleotides) under uncultured bacterium. Its description in RNAcentral is "partial 16S ribosomal RNA". It matches the Rfam family "Bacterial small subunit ribosomal RNA", at positions 524 to 776 of the family's 1533-position model. The record is from RNAcentral.